Sphaeramia orbicularis (orbiculate cardinalfish) is the source of this 1856-nucleotide RNA transcript. It is a transcript of the gene named peptidase inhibitor 16-like, with no coding region annotated. The transcript has 7 exons. NCBI's taxonomy places the organism in Eukaryota, Metazoa, Chordata, Actinopteri, Kurtiformes, Apogonidae. The record is from RefSeq and is a predicted model, not a curated record.
CACCGAGGAGGAAACUCACACUAACACACACUCAUAGAAACGACACUCACACACACACACAUGCACACACACACACACAGACACACACACACACACACACACACACACAUAUAUAUAAGACAAACACAGACAGCCUGUUGUACACUCUCUCUCUGAUCAACACAGUGGCUGAUUGACACACUCUGGACUUUGGAUUGACCUCUUGAGGAUACAUCCCUCUGGACUUCGUAUCCCAUCAUGCAUCAGCGGAGCCUCUCGGAGCUCCAAAGGGUCUCCGGCACCUCGACCCCCCGGGACCGAGCCUCCGGCCGGUCUGCGCAGCAGUGCCACAGCUCCAGGCUGAGCAGGGGGGAGAACCUGCGCCUCUGCCCGCCGACGGGAGCCCUUCUGUGGGCGUGGCUGCUGCUGGGGGCCCUGGUGUUCCCCGGAGCCUGGAGCUUUUUGACGGAGGAUCAGGAGGAGCUGCUGGUGGAGCUGCACAACCACUACAGAGGAGUGGUGUCCCCCAGCGCCUCGGCCAUGCUGCCUCUGAGGUGGGACCCCAGUCUGAAGCUGAUCGCAGAAGGCUAUGCUGCCAAAUGCAUCUGGAACCACAACCCAGAGCUGGAGGACACGGGGGAGAACCUGUUCGUGGGGACCGGGCCUCUGGACCUCCGAGUGGCCCUGGAGAAGUGGUUCCUGGAACAUCUGGACUACGAAUACAACAACAACAGCUGUGAUGAAGACAAGAUGUGUGGACACUACACACAGAUGGUGUGGGCAGACACACACAGAGUGGGCUGUGCCUUUCAUCUGUGUAACCAAAUGGAAGGACUGGACUGGGAAAGAGUGUCCUUCCUGGUCUGUAACUACUACCCAGCGGGGAAUUAUGAAGGGGAGCGUCCAUAUGUAGAAGGAGACUGGUGUUCCAGAUGUCCAGAGAACCUGCAAAGAUGUGAGAACAACCUCUGUGUUGCUGAGGAGGAGGAAGAGGAGGAAACAGUGACUCCUCCCCCUGCGACCCCUGACCCAACAGACAACAACAAAAAUGAGGAGCAGAAGGAGGUUCCGCCACCUGUUUCUGACACCACCCCUGCUCCCAGAGCUCCCACUAUCACCUCCUCCUCCUCAGGAGACGCAGACGCCUCCACACCUCCAACUCCAGAUGCCCCCACCCCAGAGCCAUCCUCCACAGGAAAGGGAGAGGAGGUGAAGGAGGUGGAGGAGGAGACGAAGGAGGUGAAGGAGGAGGAGACUAAGGAGGUGAAAGAGGAGACAAAGGAGGUGGAGGAGGACAUGGGGAGAAAGAUGGACAAAGAGUGGAGCAAAGGACAGAAAAAUAAGAUGGAGGAAAAAAGUAGAGGUGUGAAGGAGGCGCAUGACAGAGGACAGACAUCUGCACCUCCUCUGCUGUUAGUGUGUCUGAGUGGACUCCUCACCCUGAUGCCAUAACGACCAGAAGGAGGAGACCAGGAGAAGGAGACUAUACCAUGAUGACCCGGAGGAGGAGACCAUACCAUGAUGACCAGGAGGAGGAGACCAGAAGGAGGAGACCAGAAGGAGGAGACCAGAAGGAGGAGACUAUACCAUGAUGACCAGGAGGAGGAGACCAGAAGGAGGAGACUAUACCAUGACCUCACUGCUCCACAUUGACUCCGCCCACUAACACUGAUUUGCCUUCCCCUCAUUUACAUGGUUCCUUGUUUCUGUUUCCUCAUUUCCUUGUUGUCAGACGGUGUUGGGUGGACCAUGUUUCCCUGUUUCCUCCUCCAUUUCCUACCUGUUUCCUCCUCCUCUUCUUCCCCAGUUUCCUCCUCCGUUUCCUCCCUCGUUUCCUCCUCCUCCGUUUCCUCCUGCGUUUCCUCUCAUAUUCCUCC